UACGGAGGGUACGAACGUUAAUCGGAAUUACUGGGCGUAAAGCGCGCGUAGGCGGUUUGUUAAGUCGGAUGUGAAAGCCCCGGGCUCAACCUGGGAAUUGCAUUCGAUACUGGCCGACUAGAGUACGAGAGAGGGAGGUAGAAUUCCAUGUGUAGCGGUGAAAUGCGUAGAUAUGUGGAGGAAUACCGGUGGCGAAGGCG
This 200-nucleotide ribosomal RNA is filed under the name uncultured bacterium. RNAcentral's name for it is "partial 16S ribosomal RNA". It matches the Rfam family "Bacterial small subunit ribosomal RNA", at positions 524 to 723 of the family's 1533-position model. The record is from RNAcentral.